GUGAAUCAUCGAAUUUUUGAACGCAAAUUGCACUCUCUGGUACUCCGGAGAGUAUGCCUGUUUGAGGGUCAGUUUAAAUAUAAAUCGGUGUGGUUGCUGCCUUUCGUGGUGACGCACCGGAUGUGGGUCGUCUUUCCUUUGGUUAAGUGACCUAGAAUUUUGCAGGAAUUUUACGAAAGUUUU
This 183-nucleotide unclassified non-coding RNA is filed under the name Glomeraceae sp. Its description in RNAcentral is "partial contains 5.8S ribosomal RNA and internal transcribed spacer 2". The stretch from base 1 to 71 matches the Rfam family "5.8S ribosomal RNA", at positions 84 to 154 of the family's 154-position model. The record is from RNAcentral. Lineage: Eukaryota; Fungi; Glomeromycota; Glomeromycetes; Glomerales; Glomeraceae.